Molecule: long non-coding RNA, 1162 nt
Filed under: Cairina moschata (Muscovy duck)
Lineage: Eukaryota; Metazoa; Chordata; Aves; Anseriformes; Anatidae
Description: domestica (muscovy Duck (domestic type)) lncRNA (ENSCMMG00000000752.1)
Source: RNAcentral
CGGAGCCUCUAGUGAGAGCAGCUAAUCCAUUUCUAAGUGGAAAGGAUAUUUAAUAAAGGAAACAAUUUAAACGGGAUUUACACAAUACGCCGCGUGGAAGCGCCAUUUAUUCUGCGGCUUUGUAUUUAAUUUUCGUAUCUCCGUAAACCUCUUCGGAGUGCUCUGUAGGAACGAGCGCCGCUUGGAGCGGGUUCGGCUGCCCAAUAAUUCUUAGCCUGCUGGUUUGUGUUUACCCUACGGGGGAAGCACACGGUGCAUGAUAGUAAGCCAGGAGGGGCAGGGUGAUGCCUGCAGGUGUUAGCUGGGCACCGCCCGACCCUUGCCCAAAACUAAUUCUGUUUUUUAGAGAUUCGUCACACACUUCGCUGCAUGUAGUGCUCUGCUUGUCUGCACUGACUUCACAGAAAGGGGAGAAGAAAGCAGCCCCUGUGCAAGCGUCUCUUAAAUGCCAGGCAGGUUGCUAGAAGCAGUUUUCUUCAUAGCUUUGAGUUUUCUCUGCUCCCAUAAAUGACAAGGUUUGCAAGGCGGUGUGCUAGGCAGCAAUGGCAGUGCCGGGCAUGUUGAGUGCUUGAUGAAUGAGAUGGUUGCGGAAAACCUGGCGGGGUUUCCCCUUGGGAAGCGGUUUGGGACUGUUCCCGAAGCAUUUCUGCUUUCCACAGCAGGGACGUCGUGGUUUGGAAAACAUCGAGUGCGCUGGGAAAGAGCGGAUCCUGAGCUACCUCCUUCAUUUUCCACUCUUGAAUGCUCAUAUCCGACCCCACCUUUAUGCUGACACAUUUGCAAGGAGAAAACCCGUGUCUGCCAAGCACCUCGAGACCUGCACGAUGCCCUCAGUCACUCCAGCAAGGACCACCCAGCAACUCAGGGGAUGUUGUGUUGAGGAAUACCCUGCUUAAUGGAGAUGUCUUGGUGAAAUAGGUGGGUUUUGGGGGGCUCAGUUGGCUUUUAGUUGGCUGUGCUUUAAUUGGGGGCUCGAGGACAAGUUCCUUCUUAAUUCCAGCUUGAGCCUCUCUUUCUUUUAACUUACACCUAGCAUUUCUCAUCUCCCAGUACCCAUCACUAUCACUGUCCAACCUCCCUCUCGAACAAAUUUCCUGGGGCAAAGCAUCCAGUUUGCAGGCUGUUCCUUGCUCCCGCUGCAUGAAAGGACAUUGCAAAUGAA